Paramarasmius palmivorus is the source of this 96-nucleotide non-coding RNA. The record is from the annotation of a GenBank genome assembly. NCBI's taxonomy places the organism in Eukaryota, Fungi, Basidiomycota, Agaricomycetes, Agaricales, Marasmiaceae.
GUCCUGGUCGAUUAGUGGUCAAAUCAUCUCGUUGUGGUGGUCAGGAAUAUGUAGAAACGCUCCGAGAAGCCGAGGGCUCGACUCCCUCCCGGGACA